Molecule: transfer RNA, 655 nt
Filed under: Kalymmatonema hyalinum F10-MK28
Lineage: Bacteria; Bacillati; Cyanobacteriota; Cyanophyceae; Nostocales; Scytonemataceae
Description: 16S-23S ribosomal RNA intergenic spacer
Rfam family: tRNA (bases 319-391)
Source: RNAcentral
UAUAGGGAGACCAACUUUUCAGUGAACAAUCAACAGUUAACACUGAGCAGUGUUGUAACUGCUCAUGAUUGAUAACUGAUAAUAACUGAUAACUGAAAGGGCAUCCCUUGGUCGGUCGCAAUCUUAAGGAAAGCUUUCAAACUAUAAACAGGGUUCUUUAUGGGCUAUUAGCUCAGGUGGUUAGAGCGCACCCCUGAUAAGGGUGAGGUCCCUGGUUCGAGUCCAGGAUGGCCCACCUGAAGACAGUGAGCAGUCAACACUCAUCAGUAAACAGUAAAAAACUGAUAACUGGUAGCUGGUAACUGAAAACUGACUUAGGGGGGUUUAGCUCAGUUGGUAGAGCGCCUGCUUUGCAAGCAGGAUGUCAGCGGUUCGAGUCCGCUAACCUCCACCUAUUCAAACGGAAAAAUUGUCACGAAAAAAUUGCUCUUAAGUAAGAAAAAACUGAGAAAAAAGUUUUUGUGGCGGUUGGAAGUGUGAUACGAUGAAAAAAUGUGGAUAAUUCAGCAACAUGACAAGAGUCAGACUGCUGGAUGAUAUCCAGCCAGAACCUUGAAAACUGCAUAGUAACGCGAAGCAGGUAGACACAGACAUAAUAUGCAUGAUCGCAUGAAUGAAAGUGUUUGCUUUGAUAGGAAUCACCAAUGCGUGAAGU